CCUACGGGAGGCAGCAGUGGGGAAUAUUGCGCAAUGGGGGCAACCCUGAUGCAGCAACGCCGCGUGAAUGAAGAAGGCUUUCGGUUUGUAAAGCUCUAUCCGCAGGGACGAAGAUAGUGAUGCUUGCGUAGGAAUCCGCCACGGCCAACGACGCCCCAGCAGCGGUGGUACUACGUAGGCGGCCAUCGUUAGCCGGAUUUACGGGGUGAAAAGGGGGCGUAGGCGGGAAAGCAAGUCAGGAGUGAAAACCAUGGGCUCAACCGGUGGACUGCUUUUGAAACUGUUCGGCUGGAGUGCAGGAGAGGCAGACGGAAUUCCUCGUGUAGCGGUGAAAUGCGUAGAUAUUAGGAGGAACACCAGUGGCGAAGGCGGUCUACUGGACUGCAACUGACGCUGAGGCGCGAAAGCGUGGGGAGCAAACAGGAUUAGAUACCCGGGUAGUC
This 443-nucleotide ribosomal RNA is filed under the name uncultured bacterium. RNAcentral's name for it is "partial 16S ribosomal RNA". It matches the Rfam family "Bacterial small subunit ribosomal RNA", at positions 338 to 795 of the family's 1533-position model. The record is from RNAcentral.